CCUUGGUGGCAUUUCUAGACCAUUUGGCUCAUUUAUGUGACCAUUGCACCAUUUUUGAGCCAAUUGGCUAAGUUCCGUUUCAAAUACUACAAUUGUCACUUCAAUGCCUUUAUUUAUAUCUAAUUAUGCUAUUCCAACUCCAUUUCAUAAAUUUCUACUGGUGCAAUGGGUGGUGGAUGUUGAAAGUAUCCGAAUCACCUUCUUGUCAUGUAUGAACACUAGCUUGUAAUACGAUUGCUACCAUGUGAUGAACAGUUGUAGUACUUUUGUUGUGAGAUAUGUGAUGUUUUCGGACUUUCAUGAGAUGUUUAUAUGCUUGUGAUGUGAAUGCUAUAUGUGGAUGUGUCUAUGAUUUUGUGUGGAUGUAUUCUUGUGAAGUGGAUGAAUAUAUAUCUGUAUAUAUGUGCUGUGAAAAUAUUUCAAAUUGUUGCGAUAAAAUAAAAAAUAAAAAAAUACCCUUUGCCGGCGGCCACAGCCCUCGCCGCCGGCAAAGGCUGAGCGCGGGCACGCAUCAGAUUGUGCCGCGUGUCCACCCUUUGCCCGCGGGCGGCCGCCGGCAAAGGUUGACAGGUGGGCCA
This 578-nucleotide long non-coding RNA is filed under the name Brachypodium distachyon (stiff brome). RNAcentral describes it as "long non-coding RNA (BDIS_LNC003488)". Lineage: Eukaryota; Viridiplantae; Streptophyta; Magnoliopsida; Poales; Poaceae. The record is from RNAcentral.